CUGCAGGACCAGGAAGGGUGAGGAACCUGCGCGGGAUGCUGCGGGGGCUGGAGAGGGCAGGCCUCGCGCUCGGCGGCCCUCCAGCCUGGACCUGGGGAGCAAAGAGAAGGCCCCCCCCCCACGCAGCUCCACCUCCCGGCCGCGCCCCGCAGCCCCCGGCUUCGCGGGACUUACCGCCUUCAGCUGCUCCAGCCGGUCCUUCAUCCUGCAGCCCAGGUGCCCGGAGGCAGGUAACGCGUCCCAGGUGAGCGCGUCCCAGAGGAACCGCCGGAAGUGGCGGCCGGUCCCGGCCGGGGCGAGGGAGCUCCAGGCGGAGGCGGGCGGCGGCCCUCGCUAGGAGGAGCGUCCCAGGCCACCGAGGCUCCGCCGCGCCGCCUCCUCCGGCCCCCGCCGCCGCCGAGCGCUCCAAAUCCGGCUCCCGGGCCGGCGCCGGCGCGCAGCGCUCAUCCGCCCGCAGGCCCGCCCCUUACCUGGCCGCGCCCGCGCUCCUAGUUAAAGGGCCCGCGCCCGGCCGCUGCCCGGCCCCCCUCGCGCCUCUCACUCCACCUCUAACUCCAGGUCCCUCAAAGAAGUGGAGGCUCUGGCGCUGGUGGACCCUGCCGCUAGGAGAACCGUGGGGGUGGCCUCGAUUGCGUCUUUUCUACUCCACAGCCAUUCAUUAUCUAGACUGGGAUCCAGCCCCCGGCUGACUCAUUGCUAGGGUGGGACAAUCUCCUGGAAACUAGCAACUAAGACAAUGUGAUUUGUGCCACCGUCGGUGGGAGGAAAAUGUUCUGAUGACACUCAAGAGAUAUUCCCCCUGGAGGAAGGGCAUUCCAAGCACCAGAAGCAGCGCGGCCCGGGCUGGAAGGGGUGUCCCGGGGUGUCCCAGAGGAAUAACUAGAGAUGAGGUGGGGAGGGGGAGGCUGCGGCCAGGAGUUUGGGUUUUUACGCUGUUAGUAGUUGAGGUCUGACACCUGCCUUUAAUAAUUUGUAUACCUUUGGGAAAGCUCUGUUUCUCAGGAGGAUCCGUUUCCAUAUCUGUAAAGUCAGAGAUAAUAUCUAUUUGGCAGUUUAAUAUCUACUUGGUCUACUUGUGAAUAUCUACAAGUCUACUCGUUUCCUACCAAGUGUAGAGGUUCCCGGGUGUUUUAUGAAAAGAUGGACCUGUUCUAAUUUCCCCUCCCUCCUUAUCCCUUCUCUUCCCUCUCCCUCUCUUCCCUUCGCUAUUUUUUGGGGGGCGGGGGGGGGUGGGAACCGAAGACCAAUGACAAACUGAGCAGAAGAGAACUCAGUAAAUGGGACUAAGGAACCAAAGAUGUAAUUCUCAACUUAGGGAAAGAAGUUCUCUAUGCAUUCAGUUUAAAAGGUUAUAAAUAUUUUUGCAAUUCUAACAGGACUUUGCCCUCUUCUGCGACAUGCAUGCUUCACGCUGACUUCAUCGACUGCCAUAAAGAUAGUCUGUAUGACAGGGGUUGGGCUGUUUGAACUAGCCCUGCGGUUCAAAGCUCUAAUCCUCUCCACGACGUCCAGCAAAUAUUCUUCUGCCUCCAGCGCUCUUUAGAUGGAGUCUUGUUUACCACGAAGACUUCCAUGCCCCCUGGUGGUCAUAAAAGGAAAAGGUGAGUACAUCACAAUACAACACCUCCUUCCUUUGAUUUUUGUUAGUGGGGAUAGCAAGGUUCCUGCACUUGCGGAAAAUUGGGUCUCCUACAGGAGACAGAGAUGAAGAACUCUACACUGGAAGUUUGAAAAGGACCAUAGUGGUCAAGAGUAAGGAUUCCAUUCCAUAGCAGGAACCAAGAAGUGGCCAUGCAUCCUCCACCAUAACACAUUCAAGGCUUCUUGUUAAAACAUAAUUGCUUUCAAAAGAGUGAAAUCAUGGCUCUUGUACAAAUAUAAAAUGAACACGCAAAUAUUUUAUUUAGUUCAUUAAUUAAUGAAGGAACCAAUAAGGACUUAAACUUGUGUAGAGGAGAACUCAAAAAACAGAUACACAGGCAGUAGGGAAGCUGAAAUGAAUAUAAUAAUAAAGGCAUAACUGUCUCUGUGGUGGGGGAUCAGUUGUACUGCUGCCUGAUAAAAUUUAUUUGCAUCUCUAUGGACAAGAAUCAUUUGCAUUACUAUCCAUAUUUUUAACUUACAGAAUUGGAAAAUAGCUACAUAACCAUUCAAGGCAUGUACCAUUAUAAAAAUCAAAUAACCCAGAAAAGUGCAUUAGAUAAGUCCAUCACAGGAUACAUGCCAUAGAACACUCAAUAAUCUUUUGGGGGGAGGGCAUUUUAAUUUUUCCGGUUCUUGCAGACACUCCCAAGGUAACACCUUCCAUGGUGUUACCUAACACUAAUUAUAUGUAAAAUUCUUUGUUAUACUGAACAAAAAUUUCUCUCCCUGUAACUUCCAUUAUUUCUUGCUCCUGGCCUUUGUGCAAACACUUAAGAAAUUCAAUCACAUGAUGGUCUUUCCAGGAAGGGAGAGUUGCUAUAGGAGAGGAGCACAAUUCCCAGGCACAUGACCAGGAGGCCUGAGUUACCACGAAAUAGCUGUCACUUGACAUCACACAGCUUAUUUUCUCCUCUGUCAAAUUAAGGUACUGACCAAAACUAAUAAUUCCCAACUGUUCAAAGUCAAGACUGUCAUAUAAUCAUUAUUUUUAUUUAUAAAUCUCUCAUUUUAAAAAAAUGCCAUAUCCCCAGAAAAUAUAUAUACCAUAUAACAAGACUCUAUAAUAAGAAGCUUGGCUUCUUAUAAAAGAAUGUUUCCAUGAUGGGGGGUAAAAACAAUCUUUUUGGUCACUCUAUGUGGCUAUAGCAAAUAUGUCUAUAUUUCUCUGAAAGUUUUUAAACAUUGAAAAUACCAUAAAGAGCCCUCUUAACUGCAAUUAAAAUCCAGAAACCCAGAGAGAGAAGCCCAUUGGCACAUGUUUUUUUUUUUUUUUUUUUUUAUGGCAUUCUAUUGGAAGGUAGUUAUCAAAAACUUGGACCCUUCCCUACAACUCCUGCUAGGCAUGAAUUCUAAGUUGUUAAUUUUAUAUUAAUACUUGUUCUUUCAGGCAGAAGUGUGGAUUCCAUUCCACUGUCUGUGCAAGAAACUGAAAAAAAAAGUAAUUCUGGACAAAGGGCUCAGGCUUGUAGUCCCAGCUAUUUGGGAGAAUGAGACUGGAGGUCUCCCAAGUCUCUCUCAAGUUUGAGGCCAGCCUGAGCAACUUGGCAAGACCCUGUCUCAAGUUUUUACAAAAUGGAGAGGGCCCAGGGUUGGGAUAUAGCUCAGUGGUAGAUCACUUAGCUAGCAUGUGCAAGGCCCUGAGCUCAAUCCCCAGUACCAAAAAAAAAAAAAAAAGUCAAGUAACUGUGGGACAAGGGAUGGAGGAAGGGGUCCACGGACCGGUCAGGAAGACUGAUAGUGCACCCAGCUGGUCCACAGGAUCUUGGAGUAGGGAGUGCUCAGUAGGAGCUCCCUCUCUUGGAUGUAUUUGUAUUUUUCUGCCCUAUGAUGGUACUUGGUCUCCCACCUACUGGGUCUUAGUGCAGCUGUUUCCCCACUGGAAAAAAAAAAUAGUCAGGAUUAAUUCAAGUGUUUGCAUUUUGAUUCAUAAACCAUCAAUAUUUAAUUUCACAUUUACAAACAAACCCAAGAGAGCCUCUUGAGUUUGGGGACUCCACUUUCCUCUCUUCUCUUCCUGCUGAGCCAAUGUCUUUCCCACUGAAGAAAAGGACUGAACCUAACCCUACCUGUACAGCCACAGCUGCUGUGAGACAGGUGAGACCAUUUCUGUCUGGGAUGCCCUGAGGCAGUGUCUGCAGGGUUUGGUGCUGAGUAGAAAGAGAUAAAGGGAGCUGGAGAAUUGAAGAAGAAGGUCCUUUCUCUUCCCCACUGUAGAGAGGAAGAAUAAACCUCCUGAUUGACAGUCUCCUCCUUCUUACAGUUUGUAUUAGUUGUCAGAUGCUACCUAAGAAUUUGCUCUAAAACCUAGCUGUUUAAAACAACAAACAUUUAUUAUCUCAUAUUUUCUGCAAUUGAGAAAUCCAGGUCCAGCUUGGCAGGAUGGCUCAGCCUCAAGGUCAAGGACCUGUUUCCAAGGUUAUUCAUAUGGUUGUUGGCAGAAUUCAGUUCCUUAAGUGCUGUUGGACAGAAGGCCUUGCUGGUGAUUGGUUGGAGGAGUCCCUCAGUUCCUUGCUACAUGGUCCUCUCCAUAGAGCAGCUCACAACAUGGCAGCUAGCUUCUUUCUACCAGAGUAGGAAAGUAAGAGGGAUAAAGAGAAAGAAAGAAAAGCCCCAGAGUUGUUGAGACCUACUCUCAGAUAUGACAUUCCAUUACUUUUGCUGCAUUCUAUUAUUAGAACUGAGUCACUAGCUUCAGCACACACUCAAGGCAAGGGGAUCAUACAAGGGCAUGAAGACCAGGAGCCAAUUCAGUGGCUGCCUGACAUAGUUCAAAUCCCAAAUGAAUGCCAGAGUUUUGCAACUUCACCUCUUAGAGCUCUCUUCUCCCCCAUAUCUAACCUGGACAACUCCAACCCAGUCCCCAGACCUCAGAGUAGAAUGCUCUAAAGAAAAAAACACCUUACUCCCCAGGAGGAAGUUAGGUGUCCCUCGAAUGUGCUUCUCUGGCACCCUAGAUUCCUCCAUUGCACCCUUCCAUAUUGGAUAAUAACCUGGCCACUUGUGUCCACAGGAGAGCAACUUGUCUUUCUUGUUCACUGAUGUGGAAUCUGACCUGAACAGAGGACCAAAACGUACUAGACACUCAGUAAAUGUUUACUAAACUUAUUAAAUGAAACUUCUUAAAAUGUGGUUCUCAUCUUUCAUAUUAAAAACCAUUGUGUUCUCAUUACCAAGAGAGAGUCCAUACUCUUCUUGGAAUUGCAUUCAAGGUCUUGCCCAAUUUGGCCAAGGCCUUGCAUAAGGUCACCCCAGACACACAGCUCCACCAUCAGCCUCAGCAAACCAUCACCUCUUCUCUUAACCUAACUCAUCCUUCCAUGAGGUCCCACUUCUCUCUGCCUCUUAUGUCCUUCUUCCACGUCAAGUCUGACAAAUUCCUACUCCUCCAAGACAGAGGCUCUCUGCAUUUUACCCAGGUGGUUUCCAUACUUGUCUCUGUACACAACCUCCCAACUUGUUCAAGUCUCUUUUAAAAAAAAAAAAAAUCUUAUGUUGUCUUGAACCUAGUUUUUCACAUAACCAUUUCUCUAGAUUGACCGUGAACUGCCUGUGAGUAACAACUGGAUAUUUUUCCUCCAUAGCUCUCAUGAAAUAGGUCUGGGGAUCCUUCCCCUCUCCCUAAGGAGGAAAGAAAAACCCUUCCUGGAUUCUGGCUCUUAAAACCAAAUGCAAUUGCAACUCCACACAACUUAAAGGAUGAAUUUGGUGUUGCUGAAUUGAAUUCUAGAUUUAAAAUAAUAUGCUUUAUUGACAAAGAUGUUUUAUAUCAUGUUGUUCAGAUGUUUCCCUUACAUAAAACAUCAUAUACUAUAGGUCUGUGUCUAUGAAUUUCAAUGUAAAUUAUUUGUGCCACAAUUUGCUUUGUGUUUUUACAUAAAAUCCUCAGACCCUGCAUCCAUAAAGCCACAAAGUACUACACCAAAGAGGUUGGUAGGGAAAAUGUGAAGACUUGGUGAGGAAGACUCUGAACAAAAAGCCUAUAGUUAUUUCUGACCUGCUGAAGACAAGAUUGUUUCUUAUAGCACUUUGAAUAGAUGUCAAGACUAGCAGGAUAAUCGUAAUGAAGCACAGGAAAGAGGCACUGGGAUAAUUUUACUAAUUAAAAGGGUAAGUCACAUAGUGUGAGUACUUCUCAACUUGGAAAUUUGAAUAGCUAUGCUGAAUCUUUUACUUUACUUUUAGUUCUCUUGAUAUCUCCCAAUAACUUGGGGGUGAGGUAGAGUGGAUGUUGUCCCCAUUUUAUUGUGAACUAAAUUAAGUAUGGAGAAAUAAGAUGGUUUUUCCAAGCUCGCAUAAGGUACUUAUAGCAUGCCAUGAGAGCUCGUGAUUGCGUGCCCAGGCUGUGGGACCAAACUGCCCAGGUCAAAUCACAGUUCUAUUAUUACUUGCUCUGUGAUCUUGGAUUUACUUAACUUUCCUAGGCCUCAUGUUCCUCAUCUGUAAGCAAAGAUAAUAGUCAUACACAUCUCAUGGGGUUUUUUGAAGACAAAUGUGUGAACAGUUGGAAAUCAUCACUUCCCUUAUUCAAUCCCUGGAAUAGACCACACUAACUAACCCAUUAUAACUGCACUACUUUCUCAAAGAACAUGAGGAAUUGAGAAAUGCCUGUAAUACUUCAAUCAAGUAUGAAAUAACCUUCUUAGUAUUGAAAAGUCAACAGCAGCUACUAAAGCACUUUUCAAAAGAGGUUUCAACAGGAUAAUACACUUAAAAAGGCACUCAAAGAAAGUUAAAAAAUAAGGUGAAAUGCAUCCUUCAUCUUUUUUUUUUUUUUUGGUACCAGAGAUUGAACUCCCGGGCACUAGACCACUGAGCAACAUCCCCAGCCCUAUUUGGUAUUUUAUUUAGAGACAGGGUAUCACUAGUGUCUCCCUUUUGCUGAGGCUGGCUUUGAACUCAUGAUCCUCCUGCCUCAGCUACCUGAGCUGCUGGGAUUACAGGCCUGUGCCACUGAGCCCACCUCUCAUCCUUCAUCUUUGAGAGUCAUGACUCAGGUUUUCAUGCUGCAGUCUCUGAGAAAACCUGCAGCAAACCCCUAAUAGUAGUUUGAUCAGCACAAUGUCCUUCACACUAGUUGAACACAUAACAUUUAUUCCACCUAAAAACCUAAUAGCCAAAGAACUAGUGUCCUAGCAGAGUAUAUUAUAUAUUAAGUAUAUAUAAGUAUAUAUUAAGACCUUAAAAGAAGCAGCAAAUGACUACAAAUGAAACAAAAGGAGAUCCUUUAGGGUUCGUGUCUAUCAAAGGAAGAAAGCAAAAUUUCAGUUCCAUGUAAAAUGAAUUCUGGUCAUUGUUUUUUAUUGAUCAAGCUUAUGAACCUGUUACAAAAAAUAAAAUGUUGCAGCACAUUUUUUAUACUUUUCCAGAUAAGGAAACAGAGACCCAGGGAGAUGAUUUCCCAUCCUUGUGCCCUGCCAGUUCCCUCCUUCAGAAAUGCAUUUCCUACUCCAGAGAUCUAGAAACUUGUCAUGAUGCAGUUCAAACACCACCUCCCACCAUUAUUGCCGUUUCUCCCUCCUGUCCCUCUUCUGAAGUCUCAAAGUAGUGUAUUACUUGACCCUUGGUGUAACUGUCCCUUGAGUUCUUCAAUCACAUUAGAUUUGCUUUGAGACAGAAGCUGCUUCUUACUUACCUUUCCAUUUCCUGCUCUACUUGCCACAAGUGGAUGCAUAGUAUAUUGUAGAGAGCAAUAAACAGUCGGUUACUGCCUUGUUGCAUGAAAAAAAAAAAUCAUCAAAGAGUAGGGGAAGGAAUGCAUGCCCUAUAACUAUGAAAAAGAUGUUCUGAUACAUCUGUGUUCUGACACUGUUGUCUUGAGACAAGUGGUCAUCUGGUAAAUGACUACCACCCCAUAAAGAGACACACCAAAGAGCUCCUCUCCCUCCUCAAUGUGUCCAGUCUGUUUCUCUUCAAAAAUUAUCUUUGCUCUAUGUGAAUCUAUUUGAAUCAAUAUUUCCCUUCUUCUACCCCCAGAGAGGUUCAGUUAAUAAAACAAAUUUAUCCUAUUGUGCAUACAUAGCUAGGGAGAAACAAAAAGAAAGGAGAAUAUGGAAUAUGAGAGAAAGAGACUAGAGAUGGUACUGAACAGCCCAGAGGACAGCAUCCAAAGGGCGACUAACAGAGUUAGAGAUGGGGAUGAGCAGCUUGGCUCCAGGAUUAAAAGAAGCAAAGUGAAACUGCUAGCACUGAAAUUCCAGAGCUUUCCCCAGCAUCGUUCCCUGGAAAAUAAAUUGGGUGAAAAUUAAUAUUUUCUAACAGUUCAGAGUUUAUGCCACAUCAAGAGAAAGGGGCUACGAUGUUCCCAGUGUGAUUUGCAUCUUAUUGCUGGUUGUACAUCCCUCCCAGGAUGUACAGCGUUUGAGAUUGUUGACAACCUAAUAACUGGAUAUGAAGAUAAGUCCAAGGUAGGGCUAGACAUGGGAUGCUAAUAACCACAUUCACGGCAAUCUCUCCCUUUAAAAGUCAUGAAGUAUUUUCACUUAAUGUAUCUGGGGAUUCUUCAACAUAGCUACAUACUGUGGGGUUAUUAGUCCUCAUUCUGGAGAUGAAGAAACUGAGGACGACAAAAAAAUAAAAAAGAUAUUUCAAAGUACUGCAAUCAGGAAGCCUAACAGUAUGAAACCACUGCCCUGUCAGCCCCCAUCUCCUCCUCUUGCAGUCGACUUGUCGUCUUCCCUGGGGAGUGUUGUGGAGGAACAGUCAGAGUGCUCGCUGUGCUAGAGCACAAGGAACCUCAUCAUUGCUCUCUUCAAAGCCUCCUUAAGCUCCCUGCUCCUCAUGCUGUAGAUCAAGGGGUUCAGCACAGGGGUGACAAAUGUGUAAACCACAGACACCACCUGGCCCCUGUCUGGAGAGUACCUGGAGCUGGGGCACAGGUAGAUGACACUUGUGCACCCAUACUGCAGGAGGACCACAGUCAGGUGGGAGGAGCAGGUGGAGAAGGCCUUGUGCCUCCCCUCUGCACAGCGCAUCUUCAGGAUGGCAGCCACAAUGAAGACAUAGGACAGGGUGAUGAGCAGGGAGGGGAUGGUGAGCACAAUGACACUGACCGCAAACAGGGUGACCUCGUGGACGUGGGUGUCGGCACAGGCCAGCCUCAUGACAGGGAGGACGUCGCAGUAGAACAGGCUGAUCUCCUUGCUGCUGCAGAAGGGCAGCCGGAAGAUGAGCACAGUCAGCUGCAGGGCCAAGGCGAACCCCAGCACGAGGGACCCCACGGCCAGCUGCACACACACGCGCCAGCUCAUGAUGAGGGUGUAGCGCACAGGGUGACAGAUGGCCACAAACCGGUCAUAGGCCAUGACGGCCAGCAGAAUGCAGUCCGCGCUGCCCAGGAAGAUGAAGAAGAACAUCUGGGUGCCGCAGCCUGGCAGGGAGAUGAGGGUGCUCUCUGUGGACAGGACGCUGGCCAGGGUCAGAGGGGCGAUGGUGGAGGAGUAGAAGACCUCCAGAGCUGCCAGGUUUGCCAGGAAGAAGUACAUGGGGGUGUGGAGACAGCGGUUCAUCCAGAUGGUGAGGAAAAUGGAGAGGUUGCCAGUGAUGCUGACCAGGUACAUCCCGAGAAAGGUCACGAAAAUCAGCACCUGCACCUCGGGGAGUCGGGAGAAGGGGCGGAAGUGGAAGUGGAUCAUCCCAGUUUGGUUUGCUUCCUCCAUGUGUCCUCUGCAUUGGGCCUGCUGAUAGCCCAGGCGCUGCCCCUGAGGACAGAUCAAUGUCAGGACAGAAGCUACUGCUGCAUGAUUCACCCAAAUCUCGGCCUCACCAUCCUGGAUCACAGGUCUGACUGUCUUUACAACCAAUCUGAAAUUAGUAACUCUCCUAUAAAGCUGUUCUGUUGUCAUCACCCAGAAGUACUUGACUCCUGAACUAUGUCUGGAUGAUUCACCUUUGUAUCGGGAUUAUAUAUAAUAACAAUAGAAAUAUAACAUGAUUAUCACAUUAGGGAUUUGUAGGUGUACAGACCCAUUGUAUUAAGUGACAAUGUCAUACAACCAUGGCCUCUUCUUCUCCUCACCAUCCAAAAUUCUGUGCCCGUUAUACUAUAACCCCAUUAUGCCCUUCUCCCACCCCCUUACUCAUCUCUACUUCUAUUUCUGUCUCUGUGCACAUUCCCAUUCUGGGUACCUCGUGUAAGUGAAAUCAGAUGAUUUAUGUCCUUCUCUGACUGGCUCUUUUGAGUGUGCAUAAUGCUUUCUAGGUACAUCCAUGUAUUAGUACAUAUUAAAAUUAUGUCAUUUUUAUGGCUGAAUUAUAUUCCAUUGUCUGUAUAUGCUGCAUUUUGUAUAUACACUUAUCAGUUCAUGGACAAUGUAGCGUUUCUACUUUCGGCUAUUGUAUAUCCUAAACCAUAGUAUACCACUCCUAAGCCACAGUCCCUCUGUUUCCUUGAAACCUUUUCUCUGGUCACACUAUUGGGGUUGGAGAAUCUAGGUUCUAAUUCCUGAUCUAAUUGGCCAAUUCUAUGACCUUGGGCAGCCCUUUGAAGCUUUCUUUUUCACUGAAUUCAUCUGUAAAGAUGACAGUAAGACACCACUUGACAUUGUCAGUAGAAUGUACGUGCCUGACCCCUUUCAAACUCUGAUGAAUGCUAGUAAUCCUGAAAACCACUCUUCUUUCCCCUCUUCCAGAUCACCUUGAUGCUUCCAGCUUCCCCAAAGAAGUCUCCUUUGGAUGAUAUCCUCAUCCCUUCUCACCAAGACAUCCGACAUCUCUUCCACUAGUCUUCCACCAGUGCCCACCAUUUUUAGUUCCUUGGACUUCCCUCAGCCCUAACACCUGCUGUAAUGUCCCCUGUCUCUAAUCCUAACUGAUCGUGACUGAAAAAGACCACGAAACUCUGUCCCCUGGUGCCACAGCAGAGAUUGGCAUUCUCAACCCCAGCACCCUCCCCAAGCCCCCGAGUCAGCCCCUCUUUCCAGUCCUCACCAAGGCUAGUCCCUCACCUCGUCGCCCCCUUCCCUCAUGCUCCGGCUCCAACUUCACACACACAAAGAAGGAACAGAAGCCCCCGAGGCAGCUCUCCUUCAUGCUCACCAGCUCUGGGCCUGCAGCGGUGUCUGCCGACCCGGCUGCCCAUCACACACUCCCACCUGCCUCAGUGGGAGUGUCCCUCCUCCUUGGCCUAAAUACUGGCCUCCUGCUGGGCCCUCUGGGGUCUUGCUCCACAGAUCCACUGCUCAAGCUCCAACACCUACCUCUGCCCCCCACUCUAGAGCACCCUCAGCUCCCCCAAUAUAAAGAAACUGCCCUCAGGGUUAUGUCACCCUCCUGGCUCCUCCCAGAAUGGACAUCUGCUGUCCUUCCUUCAUCAUGGGCCGUGAGCUUCCACCUCACCCCUCCAGCUCCCUAGACCACUUUAAUGAAGACCACCAAGGACUUCCAAGUUCCUGAAUCCAAUAAUCUGUUGCAUAUAUACCUAGUGGCGCUCCCUUUUCCUGAAAAUUCCUCAGUCCUUGGCUCUGAGAUGCUAUUCUACCCUCUAGACACUCUAUUCCCCAAAUUUGGAGAGGUUGCUGUUCCUGUUGGUGAUGCACCAAAGGAAGGUUUUGUUGGUUAUGUAGCACUCAUCCCCGGAUCCAUUCUCUGCCCCGCUCUGCCCCUUGAAAGGCUGGUCCCCAUGCAUUACGUCAUCAGGGCUCCUUCACUCUCUGGCUUCUGGUAGGACAGAAACAGGCAGAAGAAUGAAGAACAGUAUGAAGACAGGCAGGGUAUUUAUCCCAUGCAUUCCAUGCCACCUCCUCCUCCCUCUUCCCUAUUGGUUCUAGGAUAGCAGUUCUGGGUGGGUGGCCUGACCCCCAUAGCACCAGGUACAGCUGGGCUCAGUUCCCUCACAGUGUCACUUCCACCACUGCUAGCCCUGAGUGCCUCAUCACCCCUUGUAUAUUCCAGGAAUUCUGCCCUUAGCCCCGUAAAUGGUCCCAAACUGAUGCCUGUCCACAACUUGUUACAUACAGUUGGUUUUAACAAUAGUUAUUUAAUGCUUAAAGGGAAAAAAAUAUUGUGUUUUAAUUCAUUCUAGAGUCUCUUGUGUAUAGUGGUUUACACCUAUAUCCCAGAAGCUGAGGCCAGAGGAUCACAAGUUCAAGACCAGCCUGGGCAACAAAGAGAGACUCUAUCUCAAACUAAAAAAUAAAAAGAGCACUAGGCAGGGUGGUGCAUGCCUGUAAUCCCAACACCCCAGGAGGCUGAUGCAGGAGGAUCAAAGCCAGCCUCAGCAAAAGCAAGGCUUUGCUAAGCAAUUCAGUGAGACCUUUUCUCUAAAUAAAAUACAAAAUAGGGGUGGGGAUGUGGCUCAAUGGCCAAGUGCCCCUGGGUUCAGUGCUGGUACCCCCAAAAAUAAAAUAAGAUAAAACAAAAAGGGCUGUGCAUGUAGCUCAGUGAUAAUAUCCCUGUGUUCAUUCCCCAAUUCCAAAAAGAUAAAAUCUCUUCUUUUUUUUUUCUUUGCACCACUUAUGAUCAAUAGAAAUGCAUUUCUAAGCAAGUUUUUAUGGGAUCUAAAACAAUUAGACACACACACACACACACACACACUCACACACAAAAACAAACAUACAGACAAGCACACACCAUAUCCCCUGGAGAAAACUAACCUGACACUUAUCCUUGUUCUAAAGAG
Molecule: long non-coding RNA, 12259 nt
Filed under: Marmota monax (woodchuck)
Lineage: Eukaryota; Metazoa; Chordata; Mammalia; Rodentia; Sciuridae
Source: RNAcentral